GUGGCUGGUCUCCUCUCGAAUAACAUGUCUGUGUGUGCUUGAUGGAGCUCUGCAGUUCAUGUCAAGUCUGUUUUAACGAGGUAACCCAACUUCAUGUGGACCAGAGCGCACCACUGAAAGUUACAAGUCUGCAGUUGAUCAGUUAGAGGCUGAAAAUGUGCCAGAUGUUCAAGGAAUAAAGUUCAGAUAUGGCAGAAUCAGAAAUACAGAAGAUAAGCAGUGCCAUUACUGCAGUGUUUCCUGAUCUUCCUGAAGCAGUUCUGAAUUCAGUUAUAGACACAUUGAAGGCACUU
Astyanax mexicanus (Mexican tetra) is the source of this 293-nucleotide long non-coding RNA. RefSeq lists it as uncharacterized. The record is from RefSeq and is a predicted model, not a curated record. The transcript is spliced from 3 exons. Lineage: Eukaryota; Metazoa; Chordata; Actinopteri; Characiformes; Acestrorhamphidae.